CGACCUGCCCGGUGACUUUAGAGUUAAACGGCUGCAGUACUCUGACUGUGCAAAGGUAGCAUAAUCAUUUGCCUAGUAAUUUUAGGCUAGAAUCAACGGUUAGACGAAGGAUAAGCUGUCUCCUUUUAAUUUAGCUGAAAUUAGCUUUAGGGUGAAGAGACCUUAAUAAGUAAGUGGGACGAGAAGACCCUAUUGAGCUUUAAUUUAAUUAAAAAUAAAGUUUUAAUAAAAGUUUGGAUUGGGGCAAUUCUUUUUAUAAUAAAACAAAAGUUAAGUACAAUGAAUUAAUACUACAAGACCCCGAACUUUUCGGAAAUAAGAAAAAGUUACCAUAGGGAUAACAGCGUUAUUUUUCUCGAGAGUACAUAUUGACAGAAAAGUUUGCGACCUCGAUGUUGGAUUAAGAUAACCUGGAUGUGCAGCAGCCUCCAA
Molecule: ribosomal RNA, 432 nt
Filed under: Ophioplinthaca abyssalis
Lineage: Eukaryota; Metazoa; Echinodermata; Ophiuroidea; Amphilepidida; Ophiacanthidae
Description: partial 16S large subunit ribosomal RNA
Rfam family: Bacterial large subunit ribosomal RNA
Source: RNAcentral